This 498-nucleotide ribosomal RNA is filed under the name uncultured bacterium. RNAcentral describes it as "bacterial SSU rRNA". It matches the Rfam family "Bacterial small subunit ribosomal RNA", at positions 28 to 512 of the family's 1533-position model. The record is from RNAcentral.
GACGAACGCUGGCGGCGUGGAUUAGGCAUGCAAGUCGGACGGUAGGGCUUUAUCGUAAGAUAGAGUUUGAGAGUGGCGAACGGGUGAGUAACACGUAGGAAUCUACCCUUAAGACGGGGACAACCCAGGGAAACUUGGGCUAAUACCGGAUGAGAGUGCGAGAGAUUGCAUUUAAAAGGAUGGCGAAAGUUGUCGCUUAGGGAUGAGCCUGCGGUCUAUUAGUUAGUUGGUGAGGUAAGAGCUCACCAAGGCGAUGAUAGAUAGGCGGCCUUAACGGGUGGUCGCCCACACUGGGAUUGAGAUACGGCCCAGACUCCUACGGGAGGCAGCAGUCGAGAAUAGUCUACAAUGGCCGGAAGGCUGAUAGUGCGACGCCGCGUGAACGAGGGAGCCCUUCGGGUGUAAAGUUCUUUUCUAUACGAGCAGUGCUAUAUAUAUGGACAGUAUAUAUAGAGGGAUAGUAGUAUAGGAAUAAGCAACGGCUAACUCCGUGCCAGC